UGGGGAAUAUUGCACAAUGGGCGCAAGCCUGAUGCAGCCAUGCCGCGUGUGUGAAGAAGGCCUUCGGGUUGUAAAGCACUUUCAGCGGGGAGGAAGGCGUUAAGGUUAAUAACCUUGGCGAUUGACGUUACCCGCAGAAGAAGCACCGGCUAACUCCGUGCCAGCAGCCGCGGUAAUACGGAGGGUGCAAGCGUUAAUCGGAAUUACUGGGCGUAAAGCGCACGCAGGCGGUCUGUCAAGUCGGAUGUGAAAUCCCCGGGCUCAACCUGGGAACUGCAUUCGAAACUGGCAGGCUAGAGUCUUGUAGAGGGGGGUAGAAUUCCAGGUGUGGCGGUGAAAUGCGUAGAGAUCUGGAGGAAUACCGGUGGCGAAGGCGGCCCCCUGGACAAAGACUGACGCUCAGGUGCGAAAGCGUGGGGAGCAAACAGG
RNAcentral lists this ribosomal RNA (429 nucleotides) under Chloroflexota bacterium. RNAcentral's name for it is "Chloroflexi bacterium partial 16S ribosomal RNA". It matches the Rfam family "Bacterial small subunit ribosomal RNA", at positions 355 to 776 of the family's 1533-position model. The record is from RNAcentral. Lineage: Bacteria; Bacillati; Chloroflexota.